GGAUGUAACGGUGAUCUGGCUGCGACAGCUGUCACUCCAUUGAUCGCCAGGGUUGAUUUGGCUGAUCUGGCUGGCUAGGCGGGUGUCCCCUUCCUCCCUCACUGCUCCAUGUGUGUCCCUCCCAAAGCUGCGCACUCAGUCAAAGAGGAUGACCAUCCCCCACAGAGGAGGACCGGUCUUCGAUCAAGGGUAUACGAGUAGCUGCGCUCCCCUGCUAGAACCUCCAAACUCUCAAGGUCCAUUUGUAGGAGAAUGUAGGGUAGUCAAGCUUCCAAGACUCCAGACACAUCCAAAUGAGGGGCUGCAUGCGGCAGUCUGCCUUUCUAA
RNAcentral lists this small nuclear RNA (327 nucleotides) under Saimiri boliviensis boliviensis (Bolivian squirrel monkey). RNAcentral's name for it is "7SK RNA (ENSSBOG00000007392.1)". It matches the Rfam family "7SK RNA". Rfam says of the family: 7SK was discovered as an abundant small nuclear RNA in the mid-70s but a possible function has only recently been suggested. Two independent studies have found that 7SK RNA binds the CDK9/cyclin T complex (known as elongation factor P-TEFb). P-TEFb activates transcription by phosphorylating the C-terminal domain of RNA polymerase II. Lineage: Eukaryota; Metazoa; Chordata; Mammalia; Primates; Cebidae. The record is from Rfam by way of RNAcentral.